Molecule: ribosomal RNA, 497 nt
Filed under: uncultured bacterium
Lineage: Bacteria
Description: partial 16S ribosomal RNA
Rfam family: Bacterial small subunit ribosomal RNA
Source: RNAcentral
GAUGAACGCUGGCGGCGUGCCUAAUACAUGCAAGUCGAGCGGACGGACGAGAAGCUUGCUUCUCUGAUGUUAGCGGCGGACGGGUGAGUAACACGUGGAUAACCUACCUAUAAGACUGGGAUAACUUCGGGGAACCGGAGCUAAUACCGGAUGAUAUUUUGAACCGCAUGGUUCAAAAGUGAAAGACGGUCUUGCUGUCACUUAUAGAUGGAUCCGCGCUGCAUUAGCUAGUUGGUAAGGUAACGGCUUACCAAGGCAACGAUGCAUAGCCGACCUGAGAGGGUCAUCGGCCACACGAGAACUGAGGCACGGUCCAGACUCCUACGGGAGGCAGCAGUAGGGAAUCUUCCGCAAUGCGCGAAAGCCUGACGGAGCAACGCCGCGUGAGUGAUGAAGGUCUUCGGAUCGUAAAACUCUGUUAUUAGGGAAGAACAUAUGUGUAAGUAACUGUGCACAUCUUGACGGUACCUAAUCAGAAAGCCACGGCUAACUACGUG